This 117-nucleotide small RNA is filed under the name Marmota monax (woodchuck). Lineage: Eukaryota; Metazoa; Chordata; Mammalia; Rodentia; Sciuridae. The record is from RNAcentral.
GCCAGGCUCUGUGGUAUGUGUCUGUAACCCCAUGCACUUGGGAGGCUGAAGCAGGAAGACUACUUGAGCUGAGGAAUUCAGGACAGGCCUGGGCUAUAUAGUGAGACCCUGACUCUA